AGAAAUUUAAAAGCAAACAACUAUAUUACUAUAACUAUAAAUAUUUCCAUUCUGCAGGUUUAGAGUCAUAUUUUACCAAUCUGAAACUAAUCACCUUCGAAGUUUAAACAGCUGCAGACGUAUGAACUCGAUAAUGAGCGACUCACAUGCACUUUUGCCCGACAAUUCGCCAUGAAAGGCAUUAAUUUGCCUUUAAUUUAUAGGUCAUUAUCCAUAUCCAAUUACGUUGGUCGAAUAAUAAAUCAACGCCAGAUUCUGGCGCCUAGAUAUCUAGAUAUCGAAUUUAUUUUUACAGCUGC
This is a non-coding RNA of Drosophila melanogaster (fruit fly), 299 nucleotides long. Lineage: Eukaryota; Metazoa; Arthropoda; Insecta; Diptera; Drosophilidae. The record is from Ensembl.